This is a long non-coding RNA of Oncorhynchus keta (chum salmon), 524 nucleotides long. RefSeq lists it as uncharacterized. The transcript has 3 exons. Lineage: Eukaryota; Metazoa; Chordata; Actinopteri; Salmoniformes; Salmonidae. The record is from RefSeq and is a predicted model, not a curated record.
UGUGUGUCUCCUACCGUGCAGGAGGCUGGUGAAGUGGUGUGGGUGUGUCUCCUACCCUGCAGGAGGCUGGUGAAGUGGUGUGUGUGUCUCCUACCCUCCAGGAGACUGGUGAAGUGGUGUGUGUGUCUCCUACCCUCCAGGAGGCUGGUGAAGUGGUGUGUGUGUCUCCUACCCUCCAGGAGGCUGGUGAAGUGGUGUGUGUGUCUCCUACCCUCCAGGAGGCUGGUGAAGUGGUGUGUGUGUCUCCUACCCUCCAGGAGGCUGGUGAAGUGGUGUGUGUGUCUCCUACCCUCCAGGAGGCUGGUGAAGUGGUGUGUGUGUCUCCUACCCUCCAGGAGGCUGGUGAAGUGGUGUGUGUGUCUCCUACCCUCCAGGAGGCUGGUGAAGUGGUGUGUGUGUCUCCUACCCUCCAGGAGGCUGGUGAAGUGGUGUGUGUCUCCUACCCUCCAGGAGGCUGGUGAAGUGGUGUGUGUCUCCUACCCUCCAGGAGGCUGGUGAAGUGGUGUGUGUCUCCUACCCUCCAG